GAUGCUUUUCGACCGUCAUAAUUAUAUAUUAUCAGGACAUAAUUUUUGUCUACAUACAAGAAUGUGAUUUAAGAGUAUUUAGCAAUAUGAUUCACUGUUUUCACUAUCCAUCCGACUUUUUUAUAUCUUGAACCAACCAUCAAAUAUGCUGCUACUGUUGCAGGCACUAAGGUGGCCUCUAGCAGCUUGUCAAUCAGCUGCAUUGUCUUCUGCUCUGUCAUAAAUAUGAAUUAGGCAUGUCAAUGAUUCACAUUUGAGAAUAUUGUUAGUCCGCCAAUAUUGCUGUAUUUGUAAAUAAUAAUUCUGUAAAAUAUAAGUUAUCGUAAUGAAACAGUAAUUAAUUCGAGCUCACUGAAUUCACAGUGUUUCCUUAAGGAAUUUAAUCCCCUCCUAGUACCCAAGGUUAUGGAUUAUUUCCUCCCAGGAUAGAACGAAUCACACACUGGUGUAGCGGUACUUCAAACCCCAGUGUUUCAGCGAACACAAAGUUCGGUAGCAAAUCACACUUACAGUUGCUUUGUUUGAAGUUAAAACAAUGCAGAACAAAGGAGUAGAAACUCAGAAAAUCGUAUGGAAAUGCUGAGAGGAAGGAGUGCAAUGUAUAGCCAAAGUUGAGCGUUUUCAGUUUUUUUGGUGUAUUUCGUUUGGUGUUGUGUGUCUUUCUUCAACAGCUGUUGCACAUAUUUAUAGCAGUCAGCUUUAAAGAUGAACGACCAUCCACCCUCCAUUGUGAAGCAUGCACUAGCUUAUUUGUGGAGCAAGCAUUUGGCCAUGGUGGGAAGAGCAUUAGGCGGCCUGCUAUUGCAGGUGGUGGUCAAUACACGGAUUGGAUAAAUUUGGUCCAAAAAAUCCAAAUCCAAAUCCGAGCGACGACGACGACGGCGCGAGGCUUGCUUUCUUCUUAACUCUUUAAGAGCUACAAGAAGAGCAAUUAUAUAUAUACCCACCAAAAAUCUUUUCCUCUUCCAAUAUGGGACAAUGUCUCAUUGUCAAGAGGGAGAAACUUAAAAUUUUACUCAAAAUUUUAUUUUUCCCUCCAUUUCCCAUUCACCCUCAUUUUAAGACUAUUUCAUCUUAAAUAACAAAAACCUCAACAAAUAUAAUAUGCUCAAACAAAAUCAUUGAUAUCCAAUGGCCACACAAGAUCUCUAGACGCUAACUGUAACAUACUGUAGUUAUAGACUCAAGCCUAACCACAAAACCAGAAAGAAGUUUGCAUUAUGCAUUAUGCGUUAACCAUUAAUGUAUCAGGUUACCAUCAAAUUCAAAUGCGAGCUAGAAGAGCAUAAUUAUUUCACCGAGUUCCUAGGGAGCAUUUCGAAAGAAACUGAUGAGACAUAUUUAUGAGGAUUGACUGUCAUUAUUUGAUUGUCAACUACAAUGCUAACCAAUUCCUUUCAUCUCUGCCAAGCCUUUCCAGUAGAAUCAAUUCUGUUAGUUUCAUCUUUUUUGCCUAAGGGAGGAAGAGUACUUUUCAGUUUUCAUGGAUAUUACGCCAAACUUGUCAUAUUAAAUAAUCUGUGCUAGUUUUAUGUUAUCUACAUGGUAAAAGCAAAGGAGUACAUGAAAAAUUCAGUCAAGCAUAAGAAUAUAUAUACAAUUGAAAAAUUAAACAGGAAGCAUGAGAUGAACUCUUGCAUUUUGUACAAUAUGUAUUUAGUGCGACGAUAAAUCUGACUCUGGAGUUGGCAUCUCAAAAACAUCUCCCGGUCUCAUGAAAUUCAACUACUAUGAUCUGUUAAAAUAUUACUUUUAGUUUAGGCAACACAAUUUGACUUGUCAAAACUUUAGUUCUUUUUAUUCGAUAGCAGAUUUAACAAGGAAUAACCCUUAACAAUACUUUUGUAAUGGUUAUAUCAGUAUUGAAUAGAAGAAAUUUUUGUAGUGAUCACCUUUAGCUAAUGUUUGAAUUAGCUAAUAUUUGGUAACAAUUGGUAGUACUUCUCAUUACAGAAGUUACACUCAUUAGAAAAAAAUUAUCUUUUAAUCUAUUUUACCUUUAAUUAAACCAUGCAUCUCACGGAUUACACAGAUAAGCCACAUUUGGGAACAUCAUAUGCUAAACCAUUUUGGUCAGCUAAAGUCAACCAGCUCUAAAAGCUUCCUAAUUACCCGAACCAUGCCUCGUACCAAAAUUCGUGCAAAAACAAUCCAAUAAUUACAAAUUUUCACAUAGAGAAUAUGUUUGUAUCCCUCAUUUCAAAAAGAUAAGCACAUAAAUACAAAUCUUUUUCCAAAACCACCAAUCGCCAUUCCACACCACCCCAGAAGAUGAAAACAGAAAAUCACAGGCCAACAACUUUAGACAAUUUAAAUAAUUUCAAUUCAUUAGAAGUCCGGAUUCUGGAAGUAAAACUAAGAAUAGUAAACGCGUGCAGAUCCAAACAAAAGGUUCGAUAAAUAAAGGAAAAAAUCAGGAAAAUAAAACUGACCGUCUAAAUUAAGUAGCUCGACAUGGAAGACUGAAAAAGACGAAGGAGAUCUUAAGAAAGUAUUAUGAAGAAAGAAAAC
Molecule: long non-coding RNA, 2511 nt
Filed under: Nicotiana tabacum (common tobacco)
Lineage: Eukaryota; Viridiplantae; Streptophyta; Magnoliopsida; Solanales; Solanaceae
Description: long non-coding RNA (NTAB_LNC012015)
Source: RNAcentral